GUUGCGAACAAGGGCCUACACCACAACGACCUGGGUUCAAAACCAGCACGGAGCGUACUGCCAAACACAUCCAUCCCUGUAACCGCAGCGCACUCCCUGACUGUCCAGAUCCCGUCUCCCAACUGUCUCUCCAGGUACCCAGCUGUCCCACCAGGAAAGGCUCAACCAAGAGUCUAAAAAUACAUUUACCUUUUAUCAGUUUUAUUUAUAAGUCCAAGAGCAAAAAUGUAGCUGUAAGAAGAUCCUUCAGACAGAUUUGAACACAAGACCCUCACUCAGUAGCCCACAUCCUUAACCACUGAGCUAUCAGGGAUCAUAACAAUCCCCACUCAACCUAAAAUUUGACAUUGAACUAUCUAGUUGUAACA
This is a long non-coding RNA of Osmerus eperlanus (European smelt), 368 nucleotides long. RefSeq lists it as uncharacterized. The record is from RefSeq and is a predicted model, not a curated record. The transcript has 2 exons. Lineage: Eukaryota; Metazoa; Chordata; Actinopteri; Osmeriformes; Osmeridae.